Molecule: ribosomal RNA, 484 nt
Filed under: uncultured bacterium
Lineage: Bacteria
Description: partial 16S ribosomal RNA
Rfam family: Bacterial small subunit ribosomal RNA
Source: RNAcentral
AUUGAACGCUGGCGGCAGGCCUAACACAUGCCAGUCGAGCGGAUGAAGGGAGCUUGCUCCUGGAUUCAGCGGCGGACGGGUGAGUAAUGCCUAGGAAUCUGCCUGGUAGUGGGGGAUAACGUCCGGAAACGGGCGCUAAUACCGCAUACGUCCUGAGGGAGAAAGUGGGGGAUCUUCGGACCUCACGCUAUCAGAUGAGCCUAGGUCGGGUUAGCUAGUUGGUGGGGUAAAGGCCUACCAAGGCGACGAUCCGUAACUGAUCUGAGAGGAUGAUCAGUCACACUGGAACUGAGACACGGUCCAGACUCCUACGGGAGGCAGCAGUGGGGAAUAUUGGACAAUGGGCGAAAGCCUGAUCCAGCCAUGCCGCGUGUGUGAAGAAGGUCUUCGGAUUGUAAAGCACUUUAAGUUGGGAGGAAGGGCAGUAAGUUAAUACCUUGCUGUUUUGACGUUACCAACAGAAUAAGCACCGGCUAACUUCGUG